This 692-nucleotide ribosomal RNA is filed under the name uncultured bacterium. Its description in RNAcentral is "bacterial SSU rRNA". It matches the Rfam family "Bacterial small subunit ribosomal RNA", at positions 139 to 851 of the family's 1533-position model. The record is from RNAcentral.
ACGGAUAACAUACCGAAAGGUAUGCUAAUACGGGAUAAUAUAUUUGAGAGGCAUCUCUUAAAUAUCAAAGGUGAGCCAGUACAGGAUGGACCCGCGUCUGAUUAGCUAGUUGGUAAGGUAACGGCUUACCAAGGCGACGAUCAGUAGCCGACCUGAGAGGGUGAUCGGCCACAUUGGAACUGAGACACGGUCCAAACUCCUACGGGAGGCAGCAGUGGGGAAUAUUGCACAAUGGGCGAAAGCCUGAUGCAGCAACGCCGCGUGAGUGAUGAAGGCCUUCGGGUCGUAAAACUCUGUCCUCAAGGAAGAUAAUGACGGUACUUGAGGAGGAAGCCCCGGCUAACUACGUGCCAGCAGCCGCGGUAAUACGUAGGGGGCUAGCGUUAUCCGGACUUACUGGGCGUAAAGGGUGCGUAGGCGGUCUUUCAAGUCAGGAGUGAAAGGCUACGGCUCAACCGUAGUAAGCUCUUGAAACUGGGAGACUUGAGUGCAGGAGAGGAGAGUGGAAUUCCUAGUGUAGCGGUGAAAUGCGUAGAUAUUAGGAGGAACACCAGUUGCGAAGGCGGCUCUCUGGACUGUAACUGACGCUGAGGCACGAAAGCGUGGGGAGCAAACAGGAUUAGAUACCCUGGUAGUCCACGCUGUAAACGAUGAGUACUAGGUGUCGGGGGUUACCCCCCUCGGUGCCGCAG